CCCAUCUUGGCGGGUGCUGGGGAUCAAAAAGAAUAUCAGCAAGUGAUCCAUUAACCAUAUACUCGUACACGAGAAGCUUUUUAGGUCCAUCAUGACUAUAACCAAGAAGCCUGACAAGGUUACGGUGAUGGGUUUUUCCAAUGACUUUCAUCUCAUUCUGGAACUCUUUCUCGCCUUCUGCUAAAGGUUUCUCCAAUCUUUUCACAGCUACAACUUUAUUGUUAAAUUCUAAUGUCCCUUUGUAAAUUGUUCCUGAUGCUCCUCUUCCAAUCUCUUCCUGAAAACCAUUUGUCACUUUCUCCAAUUCUGCAUAAGUAAAUGAGCGCGGAGCAAUAUCCUCCAUUGAUUGGUAAUUACUCUUUGCUGAAAUCUUUUUAUAUGCGCGCCUUUGAUGUCUGUAUGCAAGAAAUCCAAAAAUAACAAAGACCAUAAAGGCCAAGGCAACAAGUGAAACACAAAUGAGAAGAAUAACUAGGCGACGCACUUUCUUUUUCUCAGUUUUAGGAUAAGUUGGAGCUGCUGCUAUUACAGCUGUUGAGGAAGCCCACUUGAUAUAGGCAACAUUAGAAUCAGUCAAUAGCCUUCUUCCGUAUCUCAGCGGAAGCCGUUGUUUUCUGCACUUUCCAUCUUUAUAAAAUGCUGCUUCGCAGUUACAGUCCUCCAAACAAGCUGUUCUACAUUCUUCUGUAGUCAUUUUAAGAACAGAAUAAGGAUCAUCUUCCCACUGCGUAUUCUCCAAUGAUCUCAUGCUAUAAGGGAUCCUCCGGUCAUUGUUCUUGCACCUAUCGACAGUAUAAUUCCUCUUACAGCCUGCAGGCCAGUUGCCAGGACUAACAUAAUCAAAUCCGGGUACACAUUCACAUUGAGGUUCAUUAUCAUAGAGAGUACAGAAUCCGUUCAGGCCACAUACGCCUUUAGGACUACAUCUGUCUGCCGAAGAUUGCCAUACAAUUAAUGAGCCGUUUCCUUUCUUAUCCAAACUCAGGGAAUACAGGCGAAGGAUACCAUCAGGAUCAAUUUUCAGGAGGUAAACUCUCUGCUUCUCAGAAAACCCAUCAGUUAGAUUUUUUACAAUGGUGGCUGAACUAUUUAGCAAAUAAAGGUUCCCAUUAGGUUCAAGAUUCAGUGCCACAUUUACUCCAUUUACUCCGUAAGUGUUACUUGCCCAGUAAGAAAACUGGCUAGCAUCUAUAGCAUCCGCUGGGUAGAGCACAAGGUUCGAAUCAAUCUGCAUCUUGAGUCUAAAUAUUCCUGUGGCGUGAUCAGAUUCUGACCUGCUUGAAAACAAUUCCUGACCAUUUGAAAGAAUCUGACCAGGUAAGAUUGCCUCUGUCGGGUGAUCAAAACUCUGCCAUAUUAUCUUUUGAUCAGAAUUAUAGAGCACAAAGUUGCCAGUGUCUAACAUGGAAGCAUAAGAAAUAGAUUUAUCAGGUGUAACGAUAUCCGUACUUGAGUCUGGGGAUUUCUGUAGGAGGAUGAGCCUUCCAUCUGCAGUUAACCGCAGAGUUACACUGUCAGAGACAGGAGGAUCAUCUCUGCUGGCUGUCCAAACCACGGUCUUAUUCACACCAAGUCCAGCAAAGAAAAUUCCAACACCAUAGCGGUUUUGGCCUUGCGGGUAGAAACCAAAGGCAAAUAAGCCUGAAGGUGACAACCAAGACGAGUCUCCUUUUGGUGUUAGAGAGGAGCCCUGACUGAUAAUAUUGGUUACUUUUUGUCGAGCUGUUACAAAAUAUACAGCAGACAGCAGGAGAAGGAGGCUAGAAAGAGAGUUGGCCUUGUUUGAUGAAUUCGUGUUUAUGUUCAUGCUCUCUUAUUUUCUGGUUACAUCUAAUAUAAAAGAACUACUCUCUGGUCUCAGAAAGGUCUCAGAAAGACGCAAGUGUGGACCAGAGCGGGAGAAUUGAAGGUCAACUUGCAUAAGUUUAUGAUGUUGAAGUAUCAAGGAAGAUCGGCUGAUAUUAAUAGGACUAUUAACAAUAGAAUUUCGUUGCUAGAACUGUUUAUAUGCUGAAAAAGGUACCUCAAACUAACUUCUGGCUUUAAGUCAGCAUCUGGCUUAUUUCUGACUUUAAGCCAACUUUUGACUUAUUACACAAACAGACAUUUUUCAGCUUGAAGUCAGAAAUGACUUAAAGCCUGAGCUUUAGGCCCAGGCAAACAGGCUCUAAGUCGUCAAGAUCAAGUGCAAACAAGAACAGUCAUGUAUCAGUUCAGAGUAUAUCAACUCUAGAGUUUGAUUCUCACGUUCCGAAACCUCCAAGCAACCUCUAUGAAACCUCUAUGCUUACAAUUAUAUGAACUUUAAAAAGAAAAAUUCCACUUUCUACACUCUUCCUUCUGAGAAAAACAAAACUGUGACCGACUUAGGUCAAUUUAUAUUUUAGCCUUGUUCUUUUUCUUAUCAGAAAUAUUACCAAGGCAAAGCUGAUAUUGACAGGCAUGUGAAUAUAACUUCUUCACGUGUCGUUAGUUGCAGUAUCAAUUUCAGAAACCUGUCAUACUCUUUUUCUUUGUUGAAAUGGUCCAUGAAUUAUAAUGCACAAGUCCAGUUUUUUGUUUGUAUUUUCAAUUUGAUGGGAUUGCACUAGAUCCAGAUUAAAUUAUUUCAAAAUUUCAAAGUAUGUCAUUUAAAUAGAAUCCUAAUGAAUUGUUUCUAUAUAUCAUGUCAUGGAGAUAAACUGACUUCAAUUUUUCUCUGGUGAUCAUAUAUUCAUAUGUAUAUUCUUUUCUAAGAGACGCUCAACGGAUGCUUGGAAGCUAUUUACUGAGACUGUUGCAAGUAAGCUCGUCUAAUCGUUUCUUUGUAUCAGUGAUGAUUAAAAGUGUCUGAAACCUCUUUUUUUUUUUUUACUUUAAUGUCUUUAGUACUUUACCGCGCUUUCUAAGAAAAGUUCUCUAGAAAAAGUUCGAAAAAAUCGCACCUUAUUUUUCCCCUCGGUGUUAAGAAAUAAAUAAAUAUAAAUUGAACAGGAAAAUUUUGAAGACUUGCUUCUCUUGACUCCCCUUCCCUCCAAAACAGAGCCCAGAAUACAAGUCUUGUGGGCAUCUUUGAUUUGUUGUCUAAUUUGACUCCUUCAAACAUUAUCUUCCUUGUGAUUGAUCCACUACGACGUAUGCUAUGGGCAAUACCAGCACUAACCCUGCAUUCAAUCUCGUCAGUUUGAUUGAAGUAGUCUUUGAAGUUGUUAAAUUUAUUCCUCGACUCAGAUGUGCAUGUAUGAUCAUUAUUGGAUUUAUUACUCAUUUUCUGUAAAUAGGAUUGCUGGUGAUAGGAAACCAUUGUGUUCGUCUAUUAGUAUACUUAGGUGAUCAGUUUUUCAGAGUACUUCGAACAUAACACACUCUAAAAUCAGAUGACGAAUAAUCUACACAAUGUCACAUUUCUCAUCCUUUUAACAUUCAGAGAGAAAAACAAUUAAGUUCAAAUACCUGACCUUAACUCUUACAAUACUUAUUUACUCUAUGCUUAAAGCCAAAUUAUUAUCACUCAUACUAGGAAUCUAUUCUUUAGUCGACAUGAGAUAUUAAAGAUGUAGAGACAAUCGUUAAAAGCAAAAAGAAGUACAGAACACUAAAAUACUAAAUAGCUGUUAAGUAAGAGGACAGACUAGGAGGUGCUGGGAUGUCCACGGUCCCUUCCAGCAUCAGUAGAACCUUCUUCAUGGAUGGGCGAAGCGAUGGUUCAUCUAAAAUGCACCACAGGCCUACUCUCACCAUUCUUUCAAAUUUCUUCCUAUCUGUCUCCUCAUCAAUUAUUAAUUUAGCAAGAUCAUUAUCCUCAAAGCACUGAUAGACCCAUUCUUCAAGAACAGCUUCCUCCUCCGAGAGGCUUAGGUUGACACUUCUCCUGCAACAAAUGAUCUCUAAAAGCAUGAUACCGAAACUAUAGACAUCUGCCUUAACAGUAACAGCCAUAUUUCGGUGCCAUUCAGGUGCAACGUAACCCCUUGUACCUCUUAUCCCUGUAUAUGUAUUUGUUUGGUCUGCCUUCAGGAGCUUUGCCAAUCCGAAGUCUGAAAUUUUGGCAGACCUGUAUUCGUCUAUCAGUAUGUUUUGAGGCUUUAUGUCGCAAUGGAUAAUUUGGGUUUCACACUCUUCGUGCAGAUAGAGGAUUCCUCUUGCAAUAUCAAGAACAAUUCUGAUUCUUUCCUCCCAUCUUGGUGGGUUUUGGGGAUCAAAAAGAAUAUCUGCAAGCGAUCCAUUAACCAUGUAUUCAUAUACCAGAAGCUUUUUUGGUCCAUCAUGACAAUAGCCCAGAAGCCUGACAAGGUUACGAUGAUGGGUUCUUCCAAUAACUUUCAUUUCAUUCUGGAACUCUUUCUCUCCUUCUGCUAACAUAUUCUCCAAUCUUUUCACAGCUACUAAUUUGUCAUUAAAUUUCCCUUUGUAAAUU
This 4396-nucleotide long non-coding RNA is filed under the name Daucus carota (carrot). RNAcentral describes it as "long non-coding RNA (DCAR_LNC000266)". The record is from RNAcentral. Lineage: Eukaryota; Viridiplantae; Streptophyta; Magnoliopsida; Apiales; Apiaceae.